AGAAGUUCUACUUCCUCAUCAAUCUCUUGAUCCUGGAUCUCAGGUUCAGCAACGACAAAUUGCUUCAACAUUCGGUUGCCAAAAGCACGUGACAUCGCUAAUACACCUCCAACUCUCCAAGUACCAGCCCACAUCACAACACCUCCGGCACUUUCAAUUCUCCUCCGCUCAUCAUUUCUGUUGGGCUUAUGAUCCUCAGAAAGAGGAAUCGCUUUUCCGCUCUUCGAUAUUAUAGUCCGUGAGUCUCCAACAUUGGCGACAUAGAGAUGAUUACCAACUAGAACUGCUGUCGAAGCAGUGGAACCAUCAUCUCGGAAGGUAUCUUUUUCAGAGUCCAAAAAUUCCAUAUCUGUUUUUUGAUACGUCUCACUUAUGGCCAACUUGGUGUUCGUUGAAAAUGAUGGAUGUUUCAAUAGAUUCUGAAAGAGAUGUCCCUUCAGAAACUCAGCUGCUCGGGAACCACCAUGACCAUCAAAUAUCCCGAAUAAGCAAACUGCUUUUCCAUCAACUUCGGAAGUUUUGAUGUCAUAAAAGUCUUCCAUGGUGGCUCUUUUCCCUCUAAAGCUUGAAUAACCACAACUCAUUUUUCCAUCUUCACUCUUCCAUCCUCCGCUGGCGUAACCACUACUAUCAUCCUUCUCCAGUGAAACAUCAACCACAGGUCCACCUUUAGCAGUUGCACCAGUAUCCACCAUCAUGGUUCUCCUCCUCGCUGUAUAUAAACUAUUCCAAGAAUAACUUAUGCUACAAGUUGCAUUUAAACUUUUAAUGAGCUUGAUAAAUUGCCUUCCCUCAAUGUGCCUAUAAAUAUACCCAGCUUGAAAAACCACAACUCUUACAGCAUCUAUUGCAUAACAUCUAAAUUUGAUUUCCACAUAAACUGCCUGAAUUUGAAGAAUCAAAAGAGUAGAUUCCGUGAAACUCUGGUAGAUCCAUAGCUAAAAAAUCAACCGAUUAACAAAAUUUUGAUAUUAACAGAUCGAUCUCUGUAAGAACAUUCAGG
This 1003-nucleotide unclassified non-coding RNA is filed under the name Hevea brasiliensis (rubber tree). Lineage: Eukaryota; Viridiplantae; Streptophyta; Magnoliopsida; Malpighiales; Euphorbiaceae. The record is from RNAcentral.